GACGAACGCUGGCGGCGUGCUUAACACAUGCAAGUCGAACGGAAAGGCCCUGCUUUUGUGGGGUGCUCGAGUGGCGAACGGGUGAGUAACACGUGAGUAACCUGCCCUUGACUUUGGGAUAACUUCAGGAAACUGGGGCUAAUACCGGAUAGGAGCUCCUGCUGCAUGGUGGGGGUUGGAAAGUUUCGGCGGUUGGGGAUGGACUCGCGGCUUAUCAGCUUGUUGGUGGGGUAGUGGCUUACCAAGGCUUUGACGGGUAGCCGGCCUGAGAGGGUGACCGGCCACAUUGGGACUGAGAUACGGCCCAGACUCCUACGGGAGGCAGCAGUGGGGAAUAUUGCACAAUGGGCGGAAGCCUGAUGCAGCAACGCCGCGUGCGGGAUGACGGCCUUCGGGCUGUAAACCGCUUUCGCCUGUGACGAAGCGUGAGUGACGGUAAUGGGUAAAGAAGCACCGGCUAACUACG
This 466-nucleotide ribosomal RNA is filed under the name uncultured bacterium. RNAcentral's name for it is "partial 16S ribosomal RNA". It matches the Rfam family "Bacterial small subunit ribosomal RNA", at positions 28 to 505 of the family's 1533-position model. The record is from RNAcentral.